Molecule: long non-coding RNA, 625 nt
Filed under: Musa acuminata (dwarf banana)
Lineage: Eukaryota; Viridiplantae; Streptophyta; Magnoliopsida; Zingiberales; Musaceae
Description: long non-coding RNA (MACU_LNC011874)
Source: RNAcentral
UGACCAUCACAUCUUUUGGCAAAACCCAGCUUAAACAACUUCUCUAGAUCUAAUAUGUUUGGAAUGGUCAAUAUUUCGAAUAUUUGAGAUGGUGCACAAAAAAUUGAUCGAACCUCGACUUUGCAUAAACUUUAUAACCGUCAUAUUUUUUUGAAAAACUAAGCUUAAACAACUUCCAUGGAGCUAGUAUGUUGGGAAUAGUCAAUAUUUUGAAUUUUCGAGAUGGUGCGCAAAACACCGAUUGAACUUUGAUUUUUCACAAAGUUUAUGACUGUCACGUCUUUUUCUGAAACUAUGCUUAUAUUGACUACCCUGGAGCAAAUAUGUUGGGAGUGAUGAAUUUUUUGAAUUUUUGAGAUGGUGUGCGAAAAAUCGAUCAAACCUCGACAUUACAAAAACUUUUAACUAUUAGGUUUUUUUUCAAAAACUAUGCUCGUACAACAUCUCAUGGACAAAUAUGUUUGGAAUGAUCAAUUUUUUGAAUUUUUGAGACGGUGCGUACAAAACCAAUCCAACUUCGACUUUAUGCAAAAUUUAUGACUAUAAGUUUGUUUCUGAAACCAAGCUUAUACAACAAACUUCCUUUGGGCUAAUAUGUUGGGAAUGGUUAUUAUUUUGAAUUUUC